AUUGAACGCUGGCGGCGUGCUUAACACAUGCAAGUCGUACGUGAAAGCGUCUCGGACGCGAGUAAAGUGGCGCACGGGUGAGUAACGCGUGGACGAUCUGCCCGGGAGUGGGGAAUAACGGCUGGAAACGGCCGCUAAUACCGCAUGAAUUUCAUGAUUAGCUUUAUGAAGGAAAGAGGGCCUCUGCAUAUGCUCUUGUCUUCCGGAUGAGUCCGCGUCCCAUUAGCUAGUUGGUGAGGUAACGGCCCACCAAGGCGACGAUGGGUAGCUGUUCUGAGAGGAUGAUCAGCCACAUUGGAACUGGAACACGGUCCAAACUCCUACGGGAGGCAGCAGUGGGGAAUAUUGCGCAAUGGGCGAAAGCCUGACGCAGCGACGCCGCGUGAGGGAUGAAAAGGUCUUCGGAUCGUAAACCUCUGUCAGAAGGGAAGAAGUUGCAACGUGCCAAUCAGCGUUGCAUUGACGGUACCUUCAAAGGAAGCACCGGCUAACUCCGUGCCAGCCGCAGC
This 509-nucleotide ribosomal RNA is filed under the name uncultured bacterium. RNAcentral's name for it is "bacterial SSU rRNA". It matches the Rfam family "Bacterial small subunit ribosomal RNA", at positions 30 to 518 of the family's 1533-position model. The record is from RNAcentral.